RNAcentral lists this long non-coding RNA (6937 nucleotides) under Sus scrofa (pig). RNAcentral describes it as "lncRNA (ENSSSCG00035073310.1)". The record is from RNAcentral. Lineage: Eukaryota; Metazoa; Chordata; Mammalia; Artiodactyla; Suidae.
AGGCAAAGCCGGGAGAAACUGCUGAGACGAGGUUAGGAUUUAACCUUUAAAUUCUGGAGCCACCGAAAGCCGAGGGGAGGACGCCGGGUGUCGGUGCUAAUGAGGCUGAGGGUGGGCGGUGGGAGGUGGGUGGCCGAGUCCCGGGCAGGUCCUGGGGGGCUCCUUGGGGAAGGCCUUGGGAGCCCUCCGCCCUGGCUGCCUCCCCCAUCAGACGGGGAGUGCGUCUGAUUGGGCGGCCAGGAGGCAGUGGUCCUUGUCCCCGCCCAGCUGGAGCGGGGUGGUGAUGCGUCCUGGGAAGUCAGGGUCUCACCCCGGGUGAGUGAGGGGGCUGUCUAGGUCCCGACCCCUCCCAGACUGGCCUUGCAUUGAGGUCCCCCCCACCCCGUCCCCGGCCCGUGCCUCUGCCUUUCCCUGCCUGGUGUUGGUUUCAGCACCCGGCCAGCGCCCUUCUUUCUUUCACCCUGAAGCCCCAGUCACCGUGCUGCUGGCGGUUUCCCCACCACCACCUGCGGAGGGCAUCCGGGCACCUUAGGCUUGUCCUAGGUCCCCAGAGCUAGACAGAAACAGGGAGACUGGAGGGAUGUUGUGGUCUCACUAAGCCUCAGUUUAUUCAUCUGCAAAAUGGGGGGAUAAUUUUACAGAUGCCAGGGGUGCUUCUGGCCCAGUCUUGCAUCUCGAUUUGCUCACCUGAGCCGGGAGUCAGGAGAUGCGGGCUGUCGUCCCAGCCAGGAGUUGUGGCUUCCUCUCUCAGAACUGGUCUCCCCAUCUGCGAAUUGGGAGGAAGAGCUCCUGCUCUCUGUCCUGAGCGGGACGGGGGCACCAAGUGAGAUGUGCAGGGUGAUGGAGUUUGGCAAACUGCACCUGUUGGGGUAGAUGGGAAGGAACCCAGCACUCUCUCCCUUCCAGACCUUUGCUCCAUAUGGCCUUCCCUUCAGUGCCUCUUCCUCUGGGAAGCCCUCCCUGAUGCCCAGCAGGUCCUCUCCUGCCACCCUGGUGUCUCCCCUCAAGCUUAGGCCCUGCUUAUCUGCCUCACACCCAGGCCUGUGAGCCUUGGGAGUGCAGGAACCACACCCCUGGCAAGGGCCUGGCCCAGAGUCCCUCGGGAGAAAGAGGCAGACAUCCUGGCUGCAGAAAGAGGCCAGAGCCACCUUGGGCCCCACUGCCCAGGCUUUGGGCAAAUGGUGGCCUCUGUUGGUGGGGAGUCAUCAUCUUUCCCCAGUGAACAGCGGGUCCAAGUCCCUGGGUGGCCCCCGGCCCCACCUUCUGAGCAUGGACAUGCCAGGAGGGAGCCAUGGCUGUGUGUGCCUCCCGUGGAGGAGGGAAAAUGCCCUUUCGUGAUGCCAUCUUAGCCCUGGCUGCCCCUCCUCAUUCAGUUUCUGAGGUUACCCACCUGCCACCAGCCCUUUCCCUGUGCUCGGUGGGGUGGUUGGUGGAGCUGCCACUGGAUAUUAGGACCCAGAAAGCCCAGGCUGCCUAUGGGACACCACACCCUGAGCUCCUUCCUGGGGUGAGAUGCAAGGGGCGGGGGGGCAGGGACAGGAGAGGGAAAUCCUGAGUUGCCGUGUGGGUAGCCCAGCUGUGCCUGCCUGUCCUAAACACCUGAGAGCCAUUAUCUCGUGGAGUCCCUGCGGUAGCUCCUCGAAGGCAGUGCUGCUGAUACCUACAUUUUGCAGGUGAUGAAACUGAGGCACAGAGUGUGGUUAAUCAACACGGCCAGUGAGGGCAGAGCCUGGCCCAGCAGCCUCUGAGAAGGAUACAAGGGAGGUGCAUGGAAGGGAGAAGUUUCUGGAGCAAUUGCCGUGAGACCGUCUGGGCAAUUAAAUUGUCCCGAGGGUCUCGAGAAGACUUUUGUGUGGGGUGUGCAAAGGAACUCCCCUUUGGUGUCUCUGAGAGAUCAGGAAGAUUUAGACCGCUUUUCCAGGAUUUGGGGGUGUCAGACGGGUGUUUCUCUUGAAUGUGACAUGGUGAUGAGACUGGACCCCAAGGCAGCCCAGUUUUAUUCAGGUUACAGUCAUAAUAACAGCCAUGGCAGCACUUAAAGCCGUUGUCACGGACCGAGCGCUCUUUAUGUGCUCGACACUGGGCUCGGCUUUGCCUGGGCGGCCCAUUCCAUCCACACCCUCACCACCAGCUUGAGGUAGAGAUUAUUCUCAUCCUCGGGUUAUUUCCUUAUCGCUGGUAUCAGAACCGGUUUGUCUCCACCUUCCCCAUCUCUCCUGUCAGGCAGUGGGCUUGGUAAAGGCCCCCGGCUGGUGUCUCCCACUCAUGCCGAGUCCCCAGCACCCAGCCCCAGCUCCACAGGGAGCAGCCAGACAGUAGAGCUUUGCUGGACAUGCUUCAGAUGAAAAGGCUGACAGCCAGAGAGCUCGCCAGGAGGGAAUCUAGGUUUCUGGGGCUUGAGACCCCAGAUUCUAAUCCCCAACUCAGCUGCUUGAAAGACUGUCUUGGAGACUCCCUUCAAGAAGGGCAUAGAGGAGUUCCCUUGCUGGCUCAGUGGUUAACGAACCCGACUAGGAUCCAUGAGGAUGCGGGUUCGGUCCCUGGCCUCGCUCAGUGUGUUAAGGAUCCGGCAUUGCUGUGAGCUAUGGUGUAGGUUGCAGACGCGGCUCGGAUCCCGCGUUGCUGUGGCUGUGGUGUAGGCUGGCAGCUGUGGCUCUGAUUCAACCCUUAGCCUGGGAACUUCCAUACGCUGCGGGUGCAGCCCUAAAAAGCAAAAAAGCAAAAAAAAAAAAAAAAAAAAAAAAAAAGGGCCAUAGAGCAUGAAUUCCCCCACCCAACCCCCUGCCCACUGUUCUCAGGCCUUGUACCAAAACCCAAGAGGCUUCUAAUCUGUAUCUGCCCCCUCCUGUCUUUUCCCUGCUUUUUAGAGUAUUGGAUGGAGAUUGGCCAGAGUUAGCUCAGGCUUGAGGAAGUUGCGUUCUUUCAGAGUUGCCCGGUGUUUUGGGUGGGAUCUGAUUCCAAAUGUCCUUCCUGUCACAUUGGUUCCCACUCGGAGAACUCCUGGACGUGGAGGUGACCUUACUAUGUGAGUCCCCGCCUGGUCAAUUUCUAGGUGCACUUAAUCCUUGCUGCUGCUCUCUGGGAUGGGGCCCCCGGUUCUACAGGGGUCUAGGUGAGGGUCUCAGGGAAGCCGGGGGUUAUAAACCCAAGACACUGACAGUUAAGAGCUUGACUCCAUCAAUGACCUUGGGAACCUCUGCAGCGGAACAGAGGUCAAGCAUUCGACCGCUCUGAGAUCUGGCCUCCCCGUCUGUAAAACGGGGGUAUGCAUGGCUAGUAGCUUGAAUGCUGGCUGUAGAUGGAGAGAAAAAGUCAAGUUUUCUCCCUCCCUCUCUCUCUCUCUCCCUCUCUCUUUCUCUCUCUUUCUUUGGCUGAACCUGAGACAUGAGGAAGUUCUCAGCCCAAAAGUCGAACCUGAGCCGCAGCUGUAACCAGAGCUGUAUCAGUGACAACGCCAGCUCCUUAACGCCCUGAGUCACAAGGGAACUCUUCAAGCUUUCUCUUUAAAAACAGAAAUCACAGUUUCCACAAGUAAUAUGCGAUUUUUAUCCCUAUAUGUUAAGAAAUGUUGGUUUAAAAACAUCUGAACACCAUAAAAUGCUGACAUGCUCGCUGCACGCCCAGCUUUGCAUCCGAGGCCGGCUGGAUGGUGGUACCCCAUGUGUGGGCGUGUCCUGUGAUAGGGCUGUUCACCUGUUCACUUGUUCUGGCCAUCCUACAGCCACCUCAUGAGGUGCCAGGGACAGGGAGCAUCAUUUCCCCAAGGAGGGAACAGCUACAGAGUGGGGACGCCACUUGCUUCUUGAGAAAUUGAUGAGCCCGGCUUUGGACCUGGGCACUGUGUUCUACCAAGCCUCAGAACUUUGCAUCCUGAGCACUGAGUGAGCUUUCAGGGCACAAAAGCAAACCAGGGUAGAGCUACAUCUCCAAGGAGACGGGGACACAUGGGUAAACCAGCGAGACAUGUGGGGUAACGGGGGCACGGAGGCUGGGUAACCCGUCCAUCUCAUAAAGAAUCACCAGAAAGAUUUUGCUUAGAACAAGCCCCUAGGAGUUCCUGUUGUGGCUCGGCAGCUUAAGGAUCCCUGAUGUUGUCUCUGUGAGGAUGCAGGUUCGAUCCCUGGCCCUUUGCUGUGGCUGAUGGAUGGUGCAUUUUUUUUUAAUACCUCAACGUGGACUCCUCCGGAGUUGUCCUGGAAAUCCAGUGGCUUGUCCUUCACUGUGCUGGUCCAGUUCACGGUCAUGGGGUCUCUAGCUCCUGCUACUCAGACACAGGAUAACUUUUUUUUUUUAAUGUUCGUACUUGCACUGUGAGUUUGUUGUAUGGUUUGGGUUUUUUUUUUUUUUUAAAGGAUCAUUGUUUAAGAAGCGACUGUGCCCCCCACCCCCAAUCCCGAACCCAAAGGUGACUCCAAGUCCCUCGUGGAAGGAGGACCUCUGGGGUCCUCACAUCUUUAGGGCGUCUCCUGAUGGAGGUAGCGCCAGGCAAGGGGCCGUGGGGUAAAGGCAACAUUUGAUUGCAGCCCCUCUGUUAUCUACUGGACCUCAGAGCCCUGCCCCUUAGCCUCUGAGCGCUCCUGACCAGAACCUCCGAUAGGUCACCUCUCUGGUGGGGACGGGGUGGAGGGAGGGAUGGAGGGGCGGGGUCCGCCUAGAAGGAGCAAUGGAAGCGCCACCCAGCUGCACACGUCCGGUCGAGCGCUUGGACAAGCCGAGAUGGGUGGAAGCUGCACGCCAGGGCCCACGCUCGUCUGGUUGCAGAUUUCAAGUUGGUCUGUGGCUGGUUUCCUGCCAACAGGAGCCCACACGUCAUCCUCCAGGACUGCUUUCGUGGUGAGCGUGGCGCGGGACCACCUCGAGAAGACCCGGGCUGCAAGCCCAGGUGGCUCAACCCUGCCCAUCGGGGCUGGGUGGGGGCGGGGCAUUUUAAAGAAAAUAGAAGGAAGCGGGGGCCCGCUGCCAAAAAUCGUUGAAACAAAUGCCCCCCCCCCGUAACUCAAAUUUCUAAGCUAAUUCCUCUCUCUGUUCCCACCAGAAAAAUUCCUCCUGCUGCUUUUGCUCCAAGGCCCAGGGCUGGUGCUAUAAGAAACCUGCCUUUGUUAAGUAACAGCAGCUUUCUCAGUUUGGGUUCAUCAGGGGCAUCCAUGAGAUGCCUGUGCAACUUGCACUGGCCGGGAGAGUCUGAACCCCCACAGCGGGCUGGUAGAGAACCCCAUCCAAAGCAAAGAAAGGGAUGGUGUAUGGAGGCCGUGGUGGCCUGGCCCUCCGUCAGGUGCAGUGUCCGUCAGGGAUUUCAAGAGGCCGUAAAUAGCUUAGAGACACUCUCAUCCCAGGAAAGCCUUAGAGGGCCCCCAGGGAACCCCAGAUUGGGAAUCACUGGGCUAAGCCAGUUGGGAUGUGGAUGGUGCGUUACGCUCUGACAAUGCCCGCAGCCACGCCUAUUUCCCCAUCAAGGAAGGUCCCCUGACUCUGCCAUUUACCGGCUGUGUGAUCUUGGGUGGAUGGCUUUCCCUCUCUGAACCUCUGAGUCCCAUGGCGUCCCCUCCUGGGUUGGAAGCACUCUGGAGGGGCUGGGUGUCUUUUUUUUUUUUUUUUUUUUCCUUUUUUGGCCACCCUGCAGCAUUCAGAGCUCCUGGACCAGGGAUCAGAUCUGAGCCACAGUUCUGACCUACACUGCAGCUGCGGCCACGCCAGGUCCUUAACCCACUGUGCCGGGUGGGGGAUGGUACCUGCGUCCCAGGGCUCCAGAGACGCCGCAUUCCUGUUGUGCCACAGCGGGAACUCCUGGCCCACCGCCACGGCAGUUUGGCCGUGUUUCCCAAAGAGGCUCUGAAGCUCUGAUGCCAGAGAUUCACAAAGACUCCUGAAAAACAGCUUCCUUGCCCACUUUUGCUUAAAUACGCCAAAGUGCACUGGGAAUCUUGGAGAAGACACUCAAGACCACGGCCUGCCUGUACCCUGCACACCAAGGUUUUCCAGGGCACAACCUGGGAUCAGUGUUCCAAGGAGCACACUUUGGGAACCCAGCCCACGACAGGUCCUCCAGACUAAAAAGGUCUCUUUGUUUCUGUGUUCGUUACCUACUUCUGCAAAACAAAGCAUCCCAACUCAGUGGCUGAAAACCGUAAGAAUAUGUUAUCUCAAAGUGUGGGUCGGGAAUUCAGAAGUGGCAUUCCUGGCUGGUCCUGGCUUGUGGUCUCUUGUGAGUGAAGUCACCUGACAGCUUGCCUGAGACGGGAGGGUCUUCUUCCAAGAUGGUACACUCACUUGGCGGGCAGGGCAGUGCUGGCUGUCGGCUAGAGGCCUCGGUUCCUUGCCACACAGACUCCUCCACGGAGCUGCUUGGGCUCCCUCACAAUAUGGUGGCUGGCUUCCCCCCAGAUGGAUAGAAGAGAGCAAGACCGAAGCCACAGUGUCUUUUAGGACGUGGCCUCAGGACGCAGUGAUGGCUACAGGGAUCCAGGCGUGUUUGCCUCCUGGAAAUGUGCAGAAAAAUCCGUGACCCGUCUGAACCCACGUGGAGAAAACUGGAGGAGGAGUGAACUCAGGAUGGAUGAAUAAUGCCAAAGAUAAACACGUAAUAAAUAGGUAAAAACCCUUCCGUGGCUCCUCACUCUCCUCGGAAGACAGUCCAAACUUGAGAGUGGCCCUGUGGCCUUUGGGGGCCAGGCACAGACCAAGCUCGCACACCGAGGGGCUCGUCACCUUCUCUCCCUUGGACACACAGACUGGACUGAAUGGUGCCAGCUUCUCCUCUUUAGAACCUCACAUCCUCUGCCUGGCACACUGUCUCCUCUUCUUGUUACUUGCUAAAUGUCACUUCCUCCAGGAAGCCCUCCCUGCCUAAUUGACUUUAGUUCAAACCCCGGGCUCCCGCUGCACUUCUUUGUAGCCCUCGUCAUUGUAAUGAUCUAAAAAAAAUCUAAAAAAACCCAAA